This 32-nucleotide non-coding RNA is filed under the name Rattus norvegicus (Norway rat). The record is from RNAcentral. Lineage: Eukaryota; Metazoa; Chordata; Mammalia; Rodentia; Muridae.
GCUCAGUGGUACAAAUAACUUUACUUUCAAAU